This 468-nucleotide ribosomal RNA is filed under the name uncultured bacterium. RNAcentral describes it as "partial 16S ribosomal RNA". It matches the Rfam family "Bacterial small subunit ribosomal RNA", at positions 28 to 507 of the family's 1533-position model. The record is from RNAcentral.
GACGAACGCUGGCGGCGUGCUUAACACAUGCCAGUCGAACGGAAAGGCCCUGCUUUUGUGGGGUGCUCGAGUGGCGAACGGGUGAGUAACACGUGAGUAACCUGCCCUUGACUUUGGGAUAACUUCAGGAAACUGGGGCUAAUACCGGAUAGGAGCUCCUGCUGCAUGGUGGGGGUUGGAAAGUUUCGGCGGUGGGGGAUGGACUCGCGGCUUAUCAGCUUGUUGGUGGGGUAGUGGCUUACCAAGGCUUUGACGGGUAGCCGGCCUGAGAGGGUGACCGGCCACACUGGGACUGGAAUACGGGCCAGACUCCUAAGGGAGGGAGCAGGGGGGAAUAUUGCACAAAGGGCGGAAGCCUGAGGGAACAACGCCGCGGGGGGGAAGACGGCCUUCGGGGUGUAAACCGCUUUCGCCUGUGACGAAGCGUGAGUGACGGUAAUGGGUAAAGAAGCACCGGCUAACUACGUG